CUGACAGUUUGGCUUCCCUGUUCCAGGUGGCAAAGCCUGUGGGGUAUUCACCUACCUGCUGCAUGAAGGCAGCAUGGAGGGACUGUGGUGGAUUAUCUGCAAAGAUGGCCCAAAUUCUCUCAUCCCUGCAGGUACAUACAAGAGGAGAACUGAAGCUCAGCUAUUCACCCUACAGAAAGCCUGAAUUUUGUAAAUGUUCUGCUUAGAAUGAGGAAGAAAGAUGAAGAAUGAGGAGGAAGAAGGGAGGAACAAGAGAGAGAGGUUGUUGCAUGGCAUAAGUAAAAUGACAGCUAUAGAAUAUGUGCAACUUUUCAGUGACAAAGACCUGUGAAGCAUUGACAGUACCACCUAAUGAGGUUUCACGAUAACUAAGUAUCACAACCAGUUUACAGACCAGAAAACUGAGACACAGGAAGGGUUGGUGACUUGAGCAAGGUGCAUCAGCUGCCAGGUUUCCAGAAGUUCCCUAGUCAUUGGGCAUUUCUGAGACUCUUGAUGCAUAUGCCAAGUAGUUAUGGAGAAAGACAUAGCCGCUUACCUCUGCAGGCAUCAUUGUGUGAAAGGAAGACCGAGGCUGUCUCACCACCCUUGAAGAGAAGCCUUUUGCUAAGGUGAUAGCUGCAUGUCCAAGCCUAUUGCGUGGCAUGGAUUUUGCCUUCUACAGCCCACUAAAGGUGAGCAGUAAAUGUGUUUGCUAUUUCCCCAAAAGGAAAUUGAGGUGUACGGAAUGCUUAUUUGGUUGACUCAGUAUCAUCCUAAAUGUAUGAACUAAUGUUUAGGAGUUUGCAGUUCACCCGCAAACCUCAGCGAUCCAAGCUCCCCUGGAUGACCAUCACUCACCUAGAAAAGAACAAUAACAGGACCUGUUUUGCUAAUCCAGGACUGUUCUCCAGCACUAACUCUAAAUAAUCCCUUCU
RNAcentral lists this long non-coding RNA (917 nucleotides) under Pongo abelii (Sumatran orangutan). Its description in RNAcentral is "lincRNA". Lineage: Eukaryota; Metazoa; Chordata; Mammalia; Primates; Hominidae. The record is from RNAcentral.